RNAcentral lists this long non-coding RNA (1432 nucleotides) under Vigna radiata. Its description in RNAcentral is "long non-coding RNA (VRAD_LNC009072)". Lineage: Eukaryota; Viridiplantae; Streptophyta; Magnoliopsida; Fabales; Fabaceae. The record is from RNAcentral.
UUUGGACCAGAUAUUUGUGGUUACAGUACCAAGAAAGUGCAUGCUAUUUUGACCUACAACAACACAAACCACUUGAUCAAGAAGGAUGUCCCUUGUGAGACUGACCAACUAACUCAUGUUUAUACAUUUAUCCUCCGUCCAGAUGCAACCUAUAGCAUCCUGAUUGAUAAUGUGGAGAAGCAAACUGGUAGUCUCUACUCUGAUUGGGAUCUUCUCCCUCCAAAGAAAAUCAAGGAUCCUGAAGCCAAAAAGGUACUUUUCUUACCGGUGUUAAUUUAACUGGGAUACUUAUUUUGGUUGAGCUAUUGAUAAAUUCUAAUCAUGAUAUGCUCACAGCCAGAAGAUUGGGAUGACAAAGAAUACAUUAGCGAUCCCGAGGAUAAGAAACCAGAGGUAAUGCCUUUUCCAAAAGGCCUCUCAUCUCACCUCGUAUGAACUUUAUGUGUUAUAUACUGACUUCUAUAUCUUGCAUUUAUAGGGAUAUGAUGACAUCCCUAAAGAGAUCCCAGAUGCCGAAGCCAAGAAGGUACUUUUUACUUUGUUUCCUUUUUGCUCUAUAUAUAUCUCAUACUGUGCUUUAAUUACUGAUUAUAAUAUUUGAUGUUGUAGCCCGAAGAUUGGGAUGAUGAGGAAGAUGGUGAGUGGACAGCUCCAACCAUUCCCAACCCUGAGUACAAGGGCCCGUGGAAGCCAAAGGUUUGUGGAAGCAUUCUUGUAAUACAUGAAAUAUGACAUAUUGCAUCAUGUUUGAUAAUGAGUUUUCUAACUUCACAUCCUUUCUGCAGAAAAUUAAGAACCCCAACUACAAAGGAAAGUGGAAGGCACCAAUUAUUGACAACCCAGGUUAGAAAGCAAUAGUUCAUCAUUGUACACAGUAGUAAUAUUUUUAUAUUAAUUUGCAAUAUAGGAUCAAUAUAUUCAUUACUUGAAAAACAUGUACCAGAUUUCAAGGACGACCCCGACCUCUAUGUUUACCCCAACUUGAAGUACGUGGGCAUUGAAUUGUGGCAGGUAACUUUUCACUUUAAUUUAACGUCACCAUUUUAGCCGAUUGUUUUCCAUUUGAACUCUUACUAGCAGGCAAUUUUAUCUUACAGGUGAAAUCUGGCACUUUGUUUGACAAUGUCUUGAUUACCGAUGAUGCUGAAUAUGCUAAGCAACUGGCUGAAGAAACAUGGGGCAAGCACAAGGAUGUAAGCGCUUUCUAUUGUCUAAUCUUUUGGCCUAAAUUACACUGUUAGAUGAUAUGAUCUCCUUAAUGGAAUUGUUUUCUUUUGCAGGCUGAGAAGGCAGCAUUUGAAGAGGCCGAGAAGAAGAAGGAAGAGGAGGUAAAAAUUGAUACUGAAAAACAUAUUUGGAAAAAUUUGGUGUUUAUAAAAUUAUCUUGAAGAAAGAAACUUUUCUUACUCCAAUAUUUUGAUGUCUUGUACAG